AUUGAACGCUGGCGGCAGGCCUAACACAUGCCAGUCGAGCGGAUGAAGGGAGCUUGCUCCUGGAUUCAGCGGCGGACGGGUGAGUAAUGCCUAGGAAUCUGCCUGGUAGUGGGGGAUAACGUCCGGAAACGGGCGCUAAUACCGCCUACGUCCUGAGGGAGAAAGUGGGGGAUCUUCGGACCUCACGCUAUCAGGUGAGCCUAGGUCGGAUUAGCCAGUUGGUGGGGUAAAGGCCUACCAAGGCGACGAUCCGUAACUGGUCUGAGAGGGUGAUCAGUCACACUGGAACUGGGACACGGUCCAGACUCCUACGAGAGGCAGCAGUGGGGAAUAUUGGACAAUGGGCGAAAGCCUGAUCCAGCCAUGCCGCGUGUGUGAAGAAGGUCUUCGGAGUGUAAAGCACUUUAAGUUGGGAGGAAGGGCAGUAAGUUAAUACCUUGCUGUUUUGACGUUACCAACAGAAUAAGCACCGGCUAACUUCGUG
RNAcentral lists this ribosomal RNA (484 nucleotides) under uncultured bacterium. RNAcentral describes it as "partial 16S ribosomal RNA". It matches the Rfam family "Bacterial small subunit ribosomal RNA", at positions 30 to 507 of the family's 1533-position model. The record is from RNAcentral.